This 1432-nucleotide ribosomal RNA is filed under the name metagenome. RNAcentral describes it as "bacterial SSU rRNA". It matches the Rfam family "Archaeal small subunit ribosomal RNA". The record is from RNAcentral.
UCCAGUUGAUCCUGCUGGAGGAUUCUGCUUUUGGAGUUCGAUUUAGACAUGCAAGUCAGAUCGCAAGAUCGGCGAACGGCUCAGUAACACGUAGGCAACUUGCCCUAAGGACCGGGAUAACUUCGGGAAACUGAGGGUAAUACCGGAUAAGGAAUGGAUAUUGGAAGAUACUAUUCCUCAAAUCAUUUGGCCUUAGGAUAGGCCUGCGGCAGAUUAGCCUGUUGGUGGGGUAAUGGCCCACCAAAGCUAUAAUCUGUACGGGCGAUGGGAGUCGGAGCCCGGAGAGGGGGACUGAGACAAGGCCCCCAGCCCUACGGGGCGCAGCAGUUACGAAACCUUUACAAUGCGCGAAAGCGUGAUAAGGGAACUCCAAGUGAUUAUGCGCGAGCAUAAUCUUUUGCCAAGUGUAAAUAGCUUGGCGAAUAAGGACUGGGUAAGACCCGUGCCAGCCGCCGCGGUAAUACGGGCAGUCCGAGUGGUGUCCAUGAAUACUGGGCUUAAAGCGUCCGUAGCUGGUUUGGUAAGUUUUCUGUGAAAGCCUGUGGCUCAACUGCAGGAAGUGCAGAAAAUACUGCCAGACUUGGAGGCGGGAGAGGUUAGGGGUACGUAUAGGGUAGCGGUAGAAUGCAGUAAUCCUAUACGGACCACCGGUAGCGAAGGCGCCUAACUAGAACGCACUCGACAGUGAGGGACGAAAGCCAGGGGAGCGACAGGGAUUAGAUACCCCUUUAGUCCUGGCCGUAAAGGAUGCAAACUAGGUGUGGUGUAACCCUCGUGGUUGGGCUGUGCCGAAGGGAAACCGUUAAGUUUGCCGCCUGGGGAGUACGAUCGCAAGGUUGAAACUUAAAGGAAUUGGCGGGGGAGCACUACAACGGGUGGAUGCUGCGGUUUAAUUGGAUAAAACGCCGGACAUCUCACCAGGGGAGACAGCAGAAUGAUAGUCAUUCUGAAGGGAUUACUUGACAAGCUGAGAGGUGUUGCAUGGCCAUCGCCAGCUCGUGCUGUGAAGUGUCCUCUCAAGUGAGGCAACGAGCGAGACCCACGCCCUUAGUUACUAAGUGUAUUAUUACAAUGCACAGGACUCUAAGGGGCCUGCCAGAGCUAAUCUGGAGGAAGGAGUGGGCGACGGUAGGUCAGUAUGACCCUAAUCUCCUGGGCUACACGUGGCAUACAUUGGUAGGCACAAUGGGAUGCAACUCCGAAAGGAGAAGCCAAUCCCCUAAAACCUAUCUAAGUCUGGAUUGAGGGCUGUAACUCGCCCUCAUGAAAAUGGAAUCCGUAGUAGUCGCGUGUCACUAUCGCGCGGCGAAUGUGUCCCUGCUCCUUGCACACACCGCCUGCCAAGCCAUCCAAGCGGGGUUUAAGUGAGGCCCGAUCCCUAGGGUUGGGUCGAUCUUAGACUUUGUGAGGCGGGCUAAGGCAUAACAAGGUA